This 909-nucleotide ribosomal RNA is filed under the name uncultured archaeon. RNAcentral's name for it is "bacterial SSU rRNA". It matches the Rfam family "Archaeal small subunit ribosomal RNA", at positions 1 to 921 of the family's 1478-position model. The record is from RNAcentral.
UUCCGGUUGAUCCUGCCGGAGGCCACUGCUAUUGGGAUCCGACUAAGCCAUGCGAGUCGAGAGGGUUCGGCCCUCGGCAGACUGCUCAGUAACACGUGGAUAACCUACCCUCAGGCGGAGAAUAACCUCGGGAAACUGAGAAUAAUACUCCAUAGAUCUAGGAUGCUGGAAUGCGCCUAGAUUGAAAGCUCUGGCGCCUAAGGAUGGGUCUGCGGACUAUCAGGUUGUAGUCAGGGUAAAGACCUGACUAGCCUACGACGGAUAUGGGUUGUGAGAGCAAUAGCCCAGAGACGAUAUCUGAGACACGAUAUCGGGCCCUACGGGGCGCAGCAGGCGCGAAAUCUUCACAAUGUGCGAAAGCACGAUGAGGGGAUCCCAAGUGCUGGCACGUAAGUGUCAGCUGUUUCUUUGUCUAAAAAACAGAGAGAGUAAGAGCUGGGUAAGACGGGUGCCAGCCGCCGCGGUAAUACCUGCAGCUCAAGUGGUGGCCGCUAUUAUUGGGCCUAAAACGUCAGUAGCCGGUUUAGUAAAUGCUUGGGUAAAUUGUGUAGCUUAACUAUACGAAUACCGGGUAGACUGCUAAACUUGGGACCGGGAGAGGCUAGAGGUACUCCUAGGGUAGAGGUGAAAUUCUGUAAUCCUAGGGGGACCACCAGUGGCGAAGGCGUCUAGCUAGAACGGGUCUGACGGUGAGGGACGAAGCCCUGGGGCGCGAACCGGAUUAGAUACCCGGGUAGUCCAGGGUGUAAACGCUGCUUGCUUGAUGUUAGUUGGGCUCCGAGCCCAACUAGUGUCGGAGAGAAGUUGUUAAGCAAGCUGCCUGGGAAGUACGGUCGCAAGACUGAAACUUAAAGGAUUGGCGGGGGAGCACAGCAACGGGUGGAGCGUGGCGUUUAUGACUCACGCGGU